GCACUGCUGAGGAGUCCCAUAAUAGGAUGAAACAACUGUCCAGUGC
Molecule: non-coding RNA, 46 nt
Filed under: Schistosoma margrebowiei
Lineage: Eukaryota; Metazoa; Platyhelminthes; Trematoda; Strigeidida; Schistosomatidae
Source: RNAcentral